Molecule: ribosomal RNA, 78 nt
Filed under: Pradoshia eiseniae
Lineage: Bacteria; Bacillati; Bacillota; Bacilli; Caryophanales; Bacillaceae
Description: Bacillaceae bacterium EAG3 partial 23S ribosomal RNA
Source: RNAcentral
UCAGGUAGAUAGGUCCGAGGUGGAAGUGUGGUGACACAUGGAGCUGACGGAUACUAAUCGUUCGAGGACUUAACCAAA